Molecule: ribosomal RNA, 424 nt
Filed under: uncultured Taibaiella sp.
Lineage: Bacteria; Pseudomonadati; Bacteroidota; Chitinophagia; Chitinophagales; Chitinophagaceae
Description: bacterial SSU rRNA
Rfam family: Bacterial small subunit ribosomal RNA
Source: RNAcentral
UAAGGAAUAUUGGUCAAUGGACGGAAGUCUGAACCAGCCAUGCCGCGUGAAGGACGAAGGCGUUCUGCGUUGUAAACUUCUUUUAUCAGAGAAGAAACCACCGAUUUCUAUUGGUGUUGACGGUAUCUGAUGAAUAAGCACCGGCUAACUCCGUGCCAGCAGCCGCGGUAAUACGGAGGGUGCAAGCGUUAUCCGGAUUUACUGGGUUUAAAGGGUGUGUAGGCGGAUUAUUAAGUCAGGGGUGAAAUCUCCGAGCUCAACUCGGAAACUGCCUUUGAUACUAUUAGUCUUGAAUUAUGUUGAGGUUGGCGGAAUAUAACAUGUAGCGGUGAAAUGCUUAGAUAUGUUAUAGAACACCGAUUGCGAAGGCAGCUGGCUAAACAUAUAUUGACGCUGAGGCACGAAAGCGUGGGUAGCGAACAGG